CAGCCGCCGCGGUAAUACGGAGGGUGCAAGCGUUAAUCGGAAUUACUGGGCGUAAAGCGUGCGCAGGCGGUUUGUUAAGACAGAUGUGAAAUCCCCGGGCUCAACCUGGGAACUGCAUUUGUGACUGGCAAGCUAGAGUAUGGCAGAGGGGGGUGGAGUUCCGCGUGUAGCAGUGAAAUGCGUAGAUAUGCGGAGGAACACCAGUGGCAAAGGCGACUCUCUGGUCUGUAACUGACGCUGAGGAGCGAAAGCGUGGGGAGCAAACAGGAUUAGAUACCCGAGUAGUCCCUGUCUCUUAUAA
RNAcentral lists this ribosomal RNA (301 nucleotides) under uncultured bacterium. RNAcentral's name for it is "partial 16S ribosomal RNA". It matches the Rfam family "Bacterial small subunit ribosomal RNA", at positions 509 to 809 of the family's 1533-position model. The record is from RNAcentral.